GGGGAAUAUUGGACAAUGGGCGCAAGCCUGAUCCAGCCAUGCCGCGUGAGUGAUGAAGGCCCUAGGGUUGUAAAGCUCUUUCACCGGUGAAGAUAAUGACGGUAACCGGAGAAGAAGCCCCGGCUAACUUCGUGCCAGCAGCCGCGGUAAUACGAAGGGGGCUAGCGUUGUUCGGAAUUACUGGGCGUAAAGCGCACGUAGGCGGAUUGGUCAGUUGGGGGUGAAAUCCCAGGGCUCAACCCUGGAACUGCCUUUAAUACUGCCGGUCUAGAGUCCGAGAGAGGUGAGUGGAAUUCCGAGUGUAGAGGUGAAAUUCGUAGAUAUUCGGAGGAACACCAGUGGCGAAGGCGGCUCACUGGCUCGGUACUGACGCUGAGGUGCGAAAGCGUGGGGAGCAAAC
RNAcentral lists this ribosomal RNA (400 nucleotides) under uncultured bacterium. RNAcentral describes it as "bacterial SSU rRNA". It matches the Rfam family "Bacterial small subunit ribosomal RNA", at positions 356 to 773 of the family's 1533-position model. The record is from RNAcentral.